Molecule: long non-coding RNA, 608 nt
Organism: Piliocolobus tephrosceles (Ugandan red Colobus)
Lineage: Eukaryota; Metazoa; Chordata; Mammalia; Primates; Cercopithecidae
Exons: 3
Source: RefSeq, a predicted model, not a curated record
CCUCCCGAGAUGCCAGAGGGACCUGCGUCCGCACUGCCCCAGUGUGACCCGCAUACCUACCGGCCCCGACCCCGAACCACAUGGCGCCCGCCCGAGCCCUGGCGCUGCUGGGUCUCCUGCUGCUGCCGCUGCUCGCGGAGCCCAGUAAACUCUGCCCACAGCUUAUGACGGUCAUUAACCAGUUUCUGACCAAAGACAAGGACACCUACAUGGACACCUACAUGGACCAAAGAAAAGGACACCUACAGAUACCACCCCAUGGAGCUGGAAAGAAACACAGCCUCUAAACUGAAGGACUGCGUGACGGACACCAUGACUCCCGAGGAGGCACAGGCCGUCAUGCAGCAACUGGAAGAAAUCAACAACCAGUGUGCCCACACCAUACUGAAGUAACACCAUCCACGGGCACCUCAGGUUCCUGUCCGGGCUGCCUGUCCCACCCAUGAGAAUCUGGGCCCAGGGCCCCGCCCUCCCCAGCUCCACCCUGCCGCUGCCUCUGCUCCCUCUCCGGCUGUGCUGAUUGGGGCAAGCCUGGGAACCGCCGCCCCCUCCCCACCCAGGCCUGUCCCCUGCGGAACAAGGCUGCCUAAUAAACUCGCCUGCAUCCA